CUUCCGCGGGGAGGGACAUUCCAGUCCGGAGGAACGCGUCUCUGUCCGCCGGCAGCCCCUCUCCUGCUCCAGCCCAGUCACACAAGUGUUAAGUCCUCAGACAGCGGCCUCAAUAGGUUGAGCCAAAGGUCGAGACCUUUGACCCGCCGGCCUCCCGGUUCCCGGCCCAAGGAGAGACUCUCCGAUACCACGUUGGGCGCCCGAGGUGACCUCCGAGCGGGAUUUCGUGUCCCCCGCACCCCGGCCUCCUCCCGGAGAGACUGAGGUUGGGUCUACACGACCAAACAGCGCAGUCCAGACUGCGUUAUAAGGCCAUAGAUACAAACAUUAUUUGGAAUCCAGUUCUUCACAACAAAAACAUCAACAAAAGCAACCACAACAAGGGCUGAAUAAAUCAACCCAUUGAAAUGUCUCAGCCAGAGGCUGCAGCCCCACCAGGCAUCUGCCCUACAUAAGAAGCCUUUCCAAGUAAACGUAGCACUCCCUUGACGUCAAGACGAUGACUAAACUGAGGCUACCAUAGGUUUCAUGAAAAGGCGUGAUUAAUUAGAGAAGACGUGAAGGUGUAGCGGUUCCAGCACUGGACUACAACUCGGGAGACAAGGAUUUGAAUCCCCCCUCAGGCAUGGAUUUCCCCGUUUGACAUCUUCCCUGGCAUUCUGCUGGUUAGUCCCAACUCGAGUAGACCCUUUGAAUCAAUUAUUGAAUGGCGGGUCAACAUGUAGAGAAAUCGAAUGGACUCAAUAGGCAUGCUCUAACUAGGACUAACAAUAGGAUAUCAAUGGAAUAUGAUAUUAGGAGGAGGGCAAGACAGGUGUCCUUCCUGGAUUGAACCAUCCUCCCCAUAUUCCUAGAUUUUCUUAUUUUUUUAAAGUAAGUCUUUAGCACACCUAAAGCCAAAGAUUCAGGAGAUAAUUGAAAUUGCCAAACUUAGCCCAUUCCUUUGGUGAGGAAUCAACCCGUCUUGCCUUUCAGUGUUAUCACCCAGUGGAUUAAGUUUUGAUUGUGGUUGAUGAUUAGCAGAGUUAGUCCUAUAAACAAAAAGAAGAGUACAGUGAUGCUGCCCAUUGCCUACAGAAGGAAUGUCUUGGUCCAUUUUAAAGACGUUUGACCUCUCCUGAAGAAACACCACAUAAAACAAUUGACUUGCCCUACAAAAAACAACGCAGAAAUCCAGAGAUGCAGUGUAAUUGUAAUUGGGUAACAGCAUCUAACCCAGUGGUUCCCAAACUUAUUUGGCGUGCUGCCCCCUUUCCAGAAAAAAUAUGACUCAGCACCCGCUGGGAAGGGGGAAGAAGCCACACUCACUCCUCUAGCUCCGCCCCCUGUGUGUCCUAACAGGCGCCUCAGGUGCUCAGCCCUGUCUCCGGUACUUGGGAAGAGGCCCCGCCCCUCCUCUGGCCCCACCCCCUGUCCUAAUAGGUGCCAUCACCGCCCCCCCUGGAUUGGGGGGGGGGGCGCCGGUAGCACCCACUUUGGGUAUCACUGAUCUAACCAAAAACAUAAUGAAGCAGUAUCAGAGAGGCCAUAUUUCUAACUCAUGCCUUAUUCUAUGAAAAACAUGACCCUGUUUAUGUAUUUUUUACAAUGAUUCUACUGUGUUCUAGUAAAUGAAGUCUACCUGGGUAAAUGGAAAAAAAUAUGACUCUGUUUCAUUGAUUGGACUUUUUAUGUUCCCUAUGUUCGGUUUACUUUAUAAAACUCUGCCUUUUGGACUAUUGGCAUCUUUGAAGGUUACAUGCUAUUUUUAAAGGUUCUGACAUUUUGAAGAGAUAGGAGAAAGGCAGCAAAGUAAGGAAACUCGGGAGAUAUCCAGUAAUAUAAAAUCCUUAUUUUAUGUUGUGUAUUUUGACAUGUAUAUAUUAUAUUUAUUUGUGUAUGUGACUACGUACCUAUUGUAUACAAAAUUGUAUAUAUGCUUUCCCCUCUGUAACAACAGAAAUCUGUGCAAAUCAGAUAAAUUUUGAUAUUUCGCCAAACUUCACUAAAAGUAACACUUGCAAUUCUACUAUUUUGCUUAUCUAAUUCCAUUAACUCAGGCCCUACUGUUUGUACUGGAAGCAACUUUUAAAUAAACUAGACCCAAACUAAUUCCCUUUAUAUGUUUUCAGUCCAAUAACUUAAGCAAUUCCGUUCUGGAGAUGCUGAUUCAUAACAUGCAACCUAACCCCGUUUCCUUCCUGUUUUACGCUAAGAUCAGGAAGAGUGUUUCCUUAGAAAUUAAUUGCCGAAAUAAAUGGAAGGAGCCAUGCUCCAGAUCAGAUAAGGGCCAUUUUGCUUCGGAAGUCCAUGAUGAGCACAGAUUCUAAAUCCAAGAGUCCAUGGCUUACCAGUUAAAGAAUAACAAGACCACGGGAAAGUAGGAAUUCAAGUCAGGCCAUUUUGAUUAACUAUUUAUAAUUAGCAGCACCGAGGCGGGAGCUGUGCAGUCGAGCUCCAGCAGAAGCAGGGCUUCACCACCACCACGUUCUCCCCUCUCCCCCUUCGUCUUAAGCCCUAAGCAAUCGCUUGUCACCAGCAACUAUUACAUAUUUAAUGGAGGCCUUCCUUGGGGACCUCCCGCCUCAGGCCAAAGGCGCAGGGGGAGUGCAGGGGCCGGAUUUAGGAAGAGUUCGCCCCCUUUCCUCCCUCAAGCCCUGCUCCCCGGAGUCUAAGACAUCCCUUUGGUGAGCAAAAUGUGAGAAAGAGCAGUGAUUUCCUAGUUUUCGGUCCCUUCAGAACCUACAAUGUGUGUGGUAAGCGCCUUCAAGUCGCCUGUUGACCUAUGGAGACUCCCGUGAAUUCCAUAGUUUUGCUAAGGCAAUGAAUCCUCAGAAAUCGUCUUUUCCAGCUCUUUCCUUUGAAAUAUAGCCUUCAGCAUCUGAUAUUUAUCCGUGGUCUCCCAACCAAGUACUAACCACUCCUGGAGUUAGAAAUAGCAGCCUCCCAAGCCUCUCACUAUUUAUUUGUUAAUGUAUAUAUUUGUUAACCUGUAUUCUAUGUGUAUGUUGAUUUGCCAGUUUGACGGUACUUCUUUAGUGUGAGAUGGGUUAUAGACAUGUGAUGGUACUGAACAUGUUCAGACUCAGGACUCCAUUUUGUAGUCAGUAUGUGUUUGGUCUUCAGUGAAAGCAGAUGUAUGUGUCCAGAUCUCAGUUGAGGUGGAUGCAUGUUGCUGUUUGGACUUCAAUGAAAUAAAUUCGCUUUAGACCUCA
This is a long non-coding RNA of Anolis carolinensis (green anole), 3194 nucleotides long. RefSeq lists it as uncharacterized. NCBI's taxonomy places the organism in Eukaryota, Metazoa, Chordata, Lepidosauria, Squamata, Anolidae. The transcript is spliced from 2 exons. The record is from RefSeq and is a predicted model, not a curated record.